RNAcentral lists this ribosomal RNA (382 nucleotides) under uncultured bacterium. Its description in RNAcentral is "bacterial SSU rRNA". It matches the Rfam family "Bacterial small subunit ribosomal RNA", at positions 29 to 415 of the family's 1533-position model. The record is from RNAcentral.
UUGAACGCUGGCGGCAUGCCUUACACAUGCAAGUCGAACGGUAACAGGUCUUCGGAUGCUGACGAGUGGCGAACGGGUGAGUAAUACAUCGGAACGUGCCCGAUCGUGGGGGAUAACGCAGCGAAAGCUGUGCUAAUACCGCAUACGAUCUACGGAUGAAAGCGGGGGAUCGCAAGACCUCGCGCGGACGGCGCGGCCGAUGGCAGAUUAGGUAGUUGGUGGGAUAAAAGCUUACCAAGCCGACGAUCUGUAGCUGGUCUGAGAGGACGACCAGCCACACUGGGACUGAGACACGGCCCAGACGCCUACGGGAGGCAGCAGUGGGGAAUUUUGGACAAUGGGCGAAAGCCUGAUCCAGCCAUGCCGCGUGCAGGAUGAAGGC